UACGGGGGGGGCAAGCGUUGUUCGGAAUUACUGGGCGUAAAGGGCUCGUAGGUGGCCAACUAAGUCAGACGUGAAAUCCCUCGGCUUAACCGGGGAACUGCGUCUGAUACUGGAUGGCUUGAGUUUGGGAGAGGGACGCGGAAUUCCAGGUGUAGCGGUGAAAUGCGUAGAGAUCCGGAGGAACACCGACGGCGUAGGCAGCGCCCUGGACGACACCUGACGCUGAGGCACGAAAGCUGGGGGAGCGAACAGG
This 253-nucleotide ribosomal RNA is filed under the name uncultured bacterium. RNAcentral describes it as "partial 16S ribosomal RNA". It matches the Rfam family "Bacterial small subunit ribosomal RNA", at positions 524 to 776 of the family's 1533-position model. The record is from RNAcentral.